This is a non-coding RNA of Heterocephalus glaber (naked mole-rat), 11338 nucleotides long. The record is from RefSeq and is a predicted model, not a curated record. Lineage: Eukaryota; Metazoa; Chordata; Mammalia; Rodentia; Bathyergidae.
ACCAAAGGAGGAAGUUAGGAGUUUUAUUAGAAAUAAGGGGAAUAGGUCUUGGGUUUCCAGGAGGGGGUCCUGAGUGGGUCAGACUGCAAUCAACAUAUAGGAUUACAAGUAUAGACGCUUAGCUAAUAGAGAUUCAAUAGGGAAACAAGUCAUAUAGCAAGGAACAUGCAAAGAACAAAGGCAUUUUGGGGAAGGGAGGAGAGUAUGCGUCCUAAUGCUCUGGUCACAUGCCAUGUGUCUGAUGCCUAUCUGGCCCCACUGGGCCAGGUGGUGCUGAUUACAGUAUAAGCUCAAGCUGUUUAUGUGUAGGAAGGCAUGCAGACAUGGCUGUUCAGAGUCAACACCAGCCACAAUCUUUGUAUCUCAUCUUCGGUGCUGACUUCCCAAGGGCCCAAUCUCACUGUGACUGCGUAUUAAUUUUUAUCUAACUUAGCUGCCUAUAAUACCUGAACAUUUUUCCUGACAACAUUAUACCACCAGCAUAUACAACAUAUACAACCAGCAUAUGGAUCAUUGUUUCAUUGUGAGAAAAAAAAAGUUAAAUCAAUUUGUCAUUUCUUCCCCACCUCAAUACACAGAUUAAAUGUCACAUUCCAACAUAUUGGCUAUGAAUUUUAUCAGUCGCCUAAUUCAAGAUACCUCAAUUAAGACAUUCAUCCUGUUGCUUGGGAGACACUCCACCCCAUUCUUCUCAUGCAAGUACACACACAAAAACAAAGAAAAACAAAGAAAUAUACCACAUCUUACCUUUCUCUUCUCUUCUUUAAUCAUGAGCAUUUUCCAGCCCCUUAUAAAGCUUUUCUCAGAUUAAGGGUGCACUGCCAAAGUACCUGAAGUUAUUAACUCAGCAGACAUUUCUGAAGCUCUUACUGUGCCAAAUAUUGGACAUGCAAAACCAAAUGUCACAUAUUGCCUUUAAAAAGCUAAGAUAUGUGGGGACAAAAGUAAAUCAACUAUUAAAAUGGACUAGAAGUGUAUCCUGUUGUGUUAGUGGUACAUAGAAGAGCUUGAAGCUUUCUGCAGUAAUCUAUUGUUAAGUAGCUGUUAUAGCUUGUGUCUAGAUGUCCCCCCAAAGAUUUAUGCAGUCAUAGGUGGGGCUUUUCAGAGGUGGCUGGAUGUAGAUUGUGUGACAUUGGGAUUGACUCAUGGGUGGGGUAGCCUGGACACAAUAUAAAGGACAGAAAGACUCUUGCCACUUGCUACUGGUGACUUGCUGUGCUGUCUUCUGACUGCCAUGAACUGUUUCUCCUCUGUGAUGGCCCUCUUCCAUGUCACCCUGCCUUGGAGGCAGACAACUAUGAGCUGAAAUCUCUACAAACUGUGAGCUGAAAUAAAUCUUUCCUCCUUUAAUUUUGGGUGUCAGGUUAGGGCUCAGUAUUGUUCAUCACUGUAUUCCAGCAUCAAAAGCAGUCUUGGCGUAUCGUUCAUACUCAAAAAAUGUUAGUUGAGUGGUGCCUAAGUUAGAUGGUUGGGAAAAGGGCUCAUCUGGAGGUGAGAGAGAGGGAAGGGAAAUAAGAAAGUAUCAAAGCACACCCCUGAUGGUACCUCCAUUUCAGGUCAUCUCUGGGGUUGCCAUGUCUUAGGCCAGUGAUAGCGGACCUAUGGCACCCAUGCCGCAGCGAGAUGUUUAUUAACCCUGAAAGCUCUAGACAGCUCGCCAUCACUGUCUUAGGUUAUCUGUGAUAGCAUAUCUGAUUUCAGUAGGUAAAAAACUGCUAACAAGAAUGAAUGGCCUUUUGAAUUCUAAUUAGUGCUGUGUCAUGAGAUUGUGAAAUGUUAAACUCUAAUUUACUCUGUUGGGAUAGAUACAGAAGAUAUUCUAGCCCUCGCCUAUUUGGAUUGUUUUGACUUCCAGAAAACAGACCAUGAAAAAAACAAAGUCUUUCCUUCGCCUUCAUACAAUGACCAUCAUGAAGUGUCUUCUCAGAGCUGGUUUUAAUUUCCAGACUGAAGAUUCCUCCAUGUAUGAAAAGAAUGUCAUUGCAUAUGUUUCUUUUCCUCUCACCAAAGUACUUUGAUAUGUCUAAAUAUCAAUCUGUACCUUCCUCUUACCUUCAAAUGUUGCUGGUAAUUCUUGGCAUCCCUUGGUUUGUUGCUACUUCACUCUAGUGAGGCACGUACUAGUCUCCCUUUGGAGCUGUUUUCUUUACUUAGAAGCACACCAGUCAUGUUGGGUUGGGUGAACCCUACUCUAGUCAUUUAGGAUGAAAGUAUACAACCUCAUGUUAAUAUGAUUACAUCUGAAAACACCGUAUUUCCAAAUAAGGCCACAUUCAGAGGCACUAGUGGUUAGGAUCUCAAGAUAUCUUUUUGGAGGAGUUUUAUAGAAAAACUCCCUACAGUGUUUCAUACAGUGGGUAGUGUGAACUUGUACUAUCUAACUUAGCUGCUGUUUUUUGUUGCUUGCUACAUAGAAGUUUCGUAAUGGUUAGACAGAUGAUAUUAGUAAUACCCAGUUCUUAUCAUUUGAGAACUCCCAUGUGAAAACUCAGGGACUGCUGUGUAUUAAGAACCACAUUCUCGAUUUAUCUGUUUUUAUAAAUGUAAAUGGGAAACCAGUUUUUCCUUUUUCAACUCGGGUGACCUACUUAGUCAUCUAAAGCUCGUCCUCAGGGACCCUCGGCCCCGGUUUCAUCUGCCAUGCCCUACGUAGUAUGUCAAGCGAGUCUGGCUCCUAAAGCCACUCACUAAUAUUUCCAUUCUCUCUCCUCUUCCUGCUGCUGCUGUUCUAUAAUUACUUUCUUUCUUUCUUUCUUUCUUUCUUUCUUCUUUCUGUAUAUGAGAAUGAUAAUAAUAGUGUUUAUUUCUUAUGAUUAUUUUUUAAAAUGAAAUAAUCUUCAUGAAUGAUUUAGCACAUAGCACAUGGCAUGCUCAGAAGACUUAACAGAGAUUAAGCAAGGGGUGAUUUAACAAAAGAAUGUUACUGAAGGGCCAGGGAUUUAGCUCAGUGGUUCCGCUGCCUGCCUCGCAAGUGGAAGGACCUGAGUUCGAUCUCCGGUACCGAAAAAACAAAAAAGAAUGUUACCGAAGAAUGUACAAUACUAAGGGACCCAACAAGAAAUAGAAAGCAACCAGGGACGAGUAGCUGCAGGAAGCCUGUUGAGACUUCCAGGAUUGAAGGGAAGAACAUUUCUGGAAGCCAGCCAGAGCUAGAGCUAUAGAAUAGAAACUCCUCAAGAAAAGCGAUGGCUGUAGAAAAAUGCAGCCCCUGCCAGAAAUUAUGGAUAAAGUAUCUACAGGGAGAAAGUGACAAAGUGUCAGUGGGCAUUGGGAGGAUAAGGUGGUACCUGUACACCUCCACUCUCUCUCUUCUCAUUCAUACCUUCCUGCUGGUACCUCUCAUCCUCUGACCCAGCUGGGAAGCCAGAGGCUUAGGAGGCCCAGUUAGUUGCAUCCCUAGGGACCAGUCUCCCAAGACACAGAGCAGAGGAGGGCAGGGCAUGGAUUGAGAAGGCAAAUGGACAUUUCCAUACAAUCAGUCUGGAGUGUAAAGAUAUUGAGACAACAAAAAUGGGUGGGUAGAAGUGACACAAAGCACUUCCAGUCCAUGCACAAGAUCUCUAGUGCAGUCACUCACGUGCUCCCCACUGCUGUCACCCUUGAGGCCAUGCAUUCACAGAGGUGGUGCUUGCAGUGGAAGGAAUCUGGGUCUUGGAAUGGCUGUGCAGUGUGCCACACUGCACUGGAUAUGAAGCCGUGAAGAUUCUAGUCUUGUUUCACUUGGAGUGAAGGUGAGGAGUGGGAGAGAUGAUUAACACUGAUGACUCUCCACUGGGCCUCUCCCAUGUUUCGUCUCUCUCCUGAACUUCUGAGCAUUCGCUCUUUCUAGAAGAUAUUUACAAAUGGGUAUUUCAUUUUAUUAUUUUUGGAUUUUUGAUACAGGGUCUCGCUGUGUAGUUCAGGCUGGCAUUGAACUCACUAUGUAGCCCUGCUGGCCCUUGGUGCUGGGAUUAUAGUGCUGGAGAUUGGACCCAGAGCCUCACACAUGCCAGGCAAGUACUCUACUCCUGAACUGCACCCCCAGCCCCUCCUUAGGAAUAUUUUAAAGUGGUUUUUUUUUUUCUGGAUACUGAAUCAAGUCUCAAUUCUUGGCUUCCGAAGAUCUUCAGAACAGCUCUCCUAAUCCAGCUAUUUAAUGUCACACUCCCAUGCACCGAGACUCUCGUAAUUAGGAGGCCCUGUCUGUUAUUGCUGUACUCCUCCAUCACACCGGCCCCUUCCCUUCUAUUCCAGCUGCUCAUCCUGGUUCAGGCCCUAUGGCUUCACACUUAAACUACAGCAAAAAGUUCUUAGCUUGUUCUCCCAACUAUGUGCUUUUCCUUUCCACUCAUCCUGCUCCUGGUAACAGAUCUCCCUCACAGAAACAUCUUCUGUUCAAAAGCUUCUCCAUCUUCUGUAUUUUCAUGCUCAGCAAAUAGCACCUCUAUAAACCAAUUGCCAAUACCAGAAACUUAGUACUUCCUUUGCUCUUCCUUGUCCCUCCCUCACCUCUCUCAUGCAACUAAUCACCAAAUUCUUUCUGAUCUUUGAACCCAUUCUCCACGUAGCUGCCUAGGUAAUCUCUUUCUAUAAUGGAAUUAUAAUCCUGGCACUCUGCUGCUUAAAACUUUUUGAGUUCUAACUCCAUGGCCUUGAGAAUGAACCUCAAAAUGCACACUGUAAAGGACCUGCACAAUGUGGCCUCCUGUUGCUCUCUCCUGUCUCAUCUUCUCAUCCCAUCUAUCCCACUGAACAAAUUUCCCUUCACCUGAGGAAGCACGUGCUCACUUACCUAUAGUCCUUCUCACAUGUUAUCUUUGAAAUUGGAGUUGGGAAGUCCUCCUGCCUCUCUUUCCUCCCACCUCUCACCUACCACACAUUUUUGAACUCAGCUGCUUUCAGGCAUUACUGUGUCUUUCUUCACCCUUGGAUUGGCAGCACCUAGCACAAUGCCUGGCACCUAUUAGGCUCCCUAAUCAAAGAAGUUAAGUAGAUUGUUCACAAGCUUAUAGCUGGCUAAGAAACAAAGAGUGGGAUUUGAUAUACUUCUCUGAUUUUAAAUUGUGUGGACAUUCCAUUUCCCUACAUUGCUUUCUAAUUCACAUGAAACCUCUCUGACAUAAUCUAACAUCCCUGUUCAUUCAUUCCACAGAUAUUUAUUGAUUUCCUAACCUGUGCCAUGUAUUGUAAUAUAUAGAGGGAGUAAACUAGCCAAGGGUCAGUGGUAUAUAGGUGUAAUACCAGCUCUCUGGGAGGCUGAGGUAGGAAGAUUACAAGUUUGAGCCCAGCCCAGACAACUUAGUGACUUAGGAAGGGCCUGUCUCAAAAGAAAAAAAUUAAAAAGGGCUAGGGAUGUAGCUCAGUGUAGAAGCCCUGGUUCCAGUUUCCAGUACUGCAAAAGAAAGGGGGAGAGGAGAUAGACUAGUGAACAAGUUGUUCCCUGCUUUCAGUAUCAUCUGAUUAAAAUAUAGAUGAAUCAAGGCAUUUGUAGCACACUGUGAUAAAUGCUUUCUUGAGAGUAAGCACAAGGUAAAAGAAAACCAGGAUGGGUCACAGGAGGUCAGGAAGACCAUUGGAGAAGAAUGAGACUUCUCUCCAAGCUCAGUGUGUGAAGCAUAAACAAAGACAAGCAAAGAAGCUGGAGAAGAGUCCAAGGCACAAGUAAGCAACAUGUGCAAAGGCUCUGAAGCAUCAGAGGCUGUGUCAAUAAAAGUUGAGAGCUGAUGAUUGCUGAAGUGUAAAAUACGGUGGCAACACUGCAGAGAGACAAUGUGGAUACAGGCAGGGCCUUAUGAUGUUAAGAAAUGCAGACUACGUCCCAAAGGCUAUUCAAAGGCAGAGUUAAAUCUGAAGGAAGAGAAUGGGUUGACUAAAUUUAAAUCCUCUGUUGACUCUGUUUACAUCCUUUGUUGAUUAAAUUGGAAAAUCCUCUAGCUACAAAGUAUAGGUUAGGGUUAAGAGGAAUAGCAGAAAAGGUAGAAGGGAGUCAAGAAUGCUUAUCUCCAAGAAAGAACAAAGAGGAAAGCGAGUUUAGGGGGAAGGAGAAAUCCUCCUUUUGGUUGAUUAAUUAGUAUGUAGGUCAGGAACUGAGGAGUGAUGUUGGGUUCUGAGAUUUGGGGACAUGACCAUGUAUAGAGUUAUCACAGUCAUGGGAGCAUAUGAGACUCUAAGAAGAGUCUAAGGAGAAGUAGAAUUUAAGGCAGAACUGGUAACACCUAGGGGAAGAGCCAAGGACAAGAAGCUCAGGAUGCUGGGCAUGGUGGCACACACCUGUAAUCUCAGGACUUGGGAGGCUGAGGCAGAAGGAUUGAAGCAAGUUUGAGGCCAGCCUGGAGUACAUAGUGAAUUCAAGGCCAGCCUGAACUAUGUAGCAAGGUGUCGUCUCAAAAGAAGAAGAGGAAGAGGAAGAAGGAGUAGGAGACCCAGAAUCACGAUCUCAGGGAAACUGAGGGAAGAGCAUUCCUAGAAGGAUGAAGGGGUCACCAGUGUUGAGUUCGGGUGGAAGGUCAAAUCAGGUAAAGACCUGUAAAGGUCCACCGGAUUUUAGGUCCUUCAUUGUCCUCAGUGGGAGCAGUUUCAGUGGAGUAGUAGGAGUAGAAGCCGGAGUGGAGAGAGUGUGGGAGUAAAGAGGCCAGUGUAGACCACCCUUUCAAACAGUUUAAGUGUGAAGGGGGAAAGAGAAAGUGUGCUUGAAGGAGUUCACCACUGCCAUCCUAGGCUGACCAGAGAGCAUUUUAAGUCUCUUCCAUCACUCUCUGCUUUUACCCCUGCUAAAGAUGUAUAAUCAUGUGACCAUGCCCCCCCCCAUCCCAUCAUUCCUAGCCCCGCUCCUGACAGGCAGCCACCACUCCUUGUGCUUUCUCAAGCCCUGUCUCUGGCAGGCAGCACAACUCCUUUCCACUCCACUCCCCCCCUCGAAAGUCCCACGUUGCCCUUUUCCUUUCACAGCCCCCUCUAUGUUCAUGACCUUGUAAAAGACCUCACAGCCUGGGGGCCAGGGGUUUAGCUCAGUGGUUCCGGCUCCUGCCUCGCCAGUGCAAGGUCCCAAAUUUGAUCCCCAGUACCAAAAAAAAAAAGAAGGAUUUUACAGCCUAUACGAGGAGGAGUUACUGGUCUGGGUCUAAGUACCAGGGUGGUCCCUUUUAGGUUUGUUCUGAAAUAAACCUGUCCUGUUGAGCUCAUAUCUUUGUUUUUUCCUCUAACAGUCCUAUCUGGCAGGAGGAUUUCUAAAUGAUGGCAGAGAUUGAAGAACAUUUGUGCCGAUGGUACAGCUUGAGGGUGUUUGAAGAUCUAGGAGAGAGGUUGCUGAGGAAGUGGAAGGAGGUACCAUUAACAGCAGUAGAGGCUCUGGCCUUACACAGGAAGGGGACGUCUUCCUUUUUAACAAAAAGCAAAAGGAAGCAAAGUGGAUGCCGGUCAGGUUUUGGAGAACGUUCAUAAGUUGGAUUCGUUCUAAGUCUGACAAAGUGACUCUUAUACACCUCUGACGCACAUAUAUAACUAUGUUGCUUGGUACUUCCUAGCAGUGCCUUCCACAUCACUGCUGCUUUCCUCUUGCUUCCAGAUUCCCCGGACUCUGACUGAGCUCCGUGCUACGGUACACCAUCGCACUGUGCAGUGAGCACACAGCCAUACAACUGUGAUAGUCUGGCAGACACGUGAGCUACUUCUGCAAUUUGUUCAUAAUUCAAGGUCCUUUCCAAUCCAUGAAAGUUCACAACUCAAACGUUUGAAAGUCAGGGACUUACUGUAGUUUAGUUAUUAUGAGUAUACAGUCAGAGCAGCCAGAUAAAAGAAAAUAGCCCACUGUGAAAGACUCACACAUAUUAUAGUCAAGCUUAGAAACACAAAAGAAAACACAAGAAGAAAGGAUAAGAAUAGGGAGAUAAGAACUCUUUCCUUCCCAGAAGAUUCUUAAGCAGAGAACACUAAGCUAGUUAACAGCUCUAACAGCUCCUUCCUGCCUCCUGGAAUUUCAACCCAGUUUUGAGAAAUAGUAGAAAUGGAAAAUAACCAGUUUCUUUUGAACUCAUUUCCUUUGAAACAAGCCUGUUCCUGGGCUCUACUUAUUCAUACAAGAGUAGGGCAAGGACCACAGUUUGAAUUUCUGCCUGGAAUCCCCUCGAGAUAGACAUCUAUCAUGAGCUACUUCUUAUUAUUAUUUCCAAUCAAACUCUUGACUUUCUGUGAUAGUUAACUGUGAUGUCAACUUGAGUAAGAAACACACAGUUAAUCAGCGUAGUGUAGCUCUGGGUGCUUCUAAAUAAUGAACUUACUGAAGAGGAAAGACAGCCUGGCUGUGGGAGGCACCAGCCAAUAGGCUUGUAGCUUGGAUGGAAUAAAAAAGGAAAGAAGAAGGAAGUCUCGCUUCUGGUUUUUUUGUUGUUGUAGUUUGUUUGGUUUUUUUUUGGUACCGGGGAUUGAACUUGGGUCCUUGCACUUGUGCAGCAGGGAGCGAAACCAGUGAGCUAAAUACCAGGCCCCCACACUUCUGUUUUCUUUGGAGGAGCUCCAGUCUUUGCCAUUGCUUUUGGAUGUCCAUCUCCAGGCUUCCAGUGCAGACUCUUCAGCCUUGCAGUGCAAACUCUUUGCUGGUUUCCAGAUUCAGACUCACAUGGGACUCUGCAGUGAGCUCCAGGCCUUUGAUUUUUGAUUGGAUCCUUUGAAUCUCUAGUGCACCUUGGCACUGUUCCACAUCUGACUCUGCAGGUGGCCAUUGGAAGCCUACCUUGUAAAUCUAUACAUACAAUGCCUUGGUUCAUGAUCACUUCUGUUUGCAAACAAUUCAGUUUGAAAAGACAAGAAUUCAGCAAAAUUUUGCUUCCAUUUGCAAUCUCUGUAUUGGGUGACAAACACGACCACAGCCAUCUUCCCCACACAAACACAAAUGCAGCCGUCUUCCCUCAAAUCGUAAAACAAAUGAAGUUCAUAAACCAACAUACCACUGGAUAUACAACAUAUCUAUCUAUAUAUCUUAUAUUAAAUCAGUUUCUCUAGUGAGCAUUGGCUGAUACACAUCCUUCUGUGGUUCUCCAUUACAUUCUUUGAUUUCAUGAACUACGUUAAAUGACUAAUCACAUUCUGUGCUCUAAUAGUCUUUAUUCCAAUCUCCUUCCAAAGGCAAUCCUAUACAACAUCAUAUAUAUUUGUAGAUCAUUCAAAAGUCUAUUUCUAACCCUGAGAUUUUUGUCCAAAGUCUACUAUAUUUUCAGUUUUGUUUUGUUUUGUUUGGUACCAGGGACUGAACUCAAGACCUUGCACUUGUGCAGCAGGUGUGGCACCACUGAGCUAAAUCCUUGGCAUAUGUUUUCAGUUUUUGAUGCAUCUCUCAAAUUUACUGUGUCGAAGUUAUUCAUUUUCCAUUUCCUGAUGUUUCCUACCCAAAGCUGAGGCUACUCCCAUUUCUAAAUAUUUUCUAUUCUAGCCUUUCUGUACCUAGUUCUCCCAAAUACUUUAGAAUUUAUUUUAUUUACCACUUUUGGGUGUUACUAUGGUUUUUGUUAGUUUUUCAUCAUAUUUUUGGUCUUCCUAAUUAGAUUUCAGACUUCAUGAGGCUGGGAAUUUAUACAUAAAUGUUCACCUCUUUACUGCAUCUCUUCUUUCUCUAAUCUUUUUCUCUUGCCUAAGCUCCCUCUAUUCACUUUCAAAAAUAUUAGCUACCGGCAGAGGGCAGUAGGGAGACCAGAGAAAAUACAGAUCGGGAGGACACAGGUUUAACAAAGUUGAUACUGUAAUAGGAGUUACAAAGAUUACUCUUUAGCUUCAUAGAAAUGGUUGUGACUUGCUUAAUUCCAGCUGCUAAAUUUUAAAAGAGAAUAGUAGUAUGUAUAAGAACGAUAUGACCAGCCAGGGUAGGAUGACAGGUUGGAACAUCUGAAAUGUAAGUAUGAAAAAAACUCAUGUUAAUGAUAUUUAAACUUUUAGAAGAUUGGCUGUGAAAGAAAACUGAGUUUAUUCUGUUUCAGCUUUCUGUUGUUUACCAAGGACUUACAAGUGAAAAUUAUGUGGAGCUAGCAUUUGCCACAGUAAGAGAAAAUUCUAAAUGUAAUGAUGUUGCGGGGAGUGGUUUGGGCCACACUGUGAAGUCCUGACCUGCCAGGCUGGAAAGUUCCCAGCCUUAGGCUGAGGGACUACCUCUUCAGUAUGUAGUUGAGGACAAUCUAGCUUCAGGCUUGAGGUUGGACUAUACGAUUUGUCAUGAUUGAUGCUUCCAAAUCUAAGAUCUAUGAGCCCAUAAUUUGAUCCACACUUCCAAUUCAGGCCAAAGACUCUCCCAUCAAAUCCUCUCCCUUAGAUCUUUGUGACUCUAGUGGGUGAAGGAAAAUCACAUAUUAUAGUAACUCAUCCAGAGUGAGCCUUUUGUGCCAGUGUGGUGGCGCAUGUCUAUAAUUCUAGUAUUCUGCCAGGCUCAUGAAGGAGGAUUGCAAAUUUGAGCCCAGCUUGGGCAAAUUAACAAUGUAGAGAGACCCAGUCUCAAAAUAAAAAAUAAAAAAGGAUUGGGGAUGGUAAAGGCCCUGGAUUCAAUUUUUAGUACCAAAAACCAAAAGCAAAACAAAGUUGGUUGUAUCAGGCGCUGAGAGGUAAGUCAGAAAUCAGUGGUAGGGAUUAGCAGAGGUCUGGAAGAGAUGUAUUUUUGAUGCCACAAACAGCAAAGAGACCCUGAAGAAAGAGAUGGCUACUGAAAAGAGAGGAGGAAAUGUUGACAGGAUUGAUGGUUGGAGAGUAAGAAUGGGAGAGAUAAAAGCCACUUGGGGAGUGAGAAGUGUUGUGUUGGGUUAUUUCUGGGCUCAAGGAAUAGGAAAACACUCAGGUUAUCUCAGGUAAAGUGCAGAAAUUUAGGCAGCCAUCCAGAGAAAUAGAAGAUAUCUAUCCUCCCCUGGAAGGCAGCUGAAGAUGUAGCUGCAGCCGUGACAUCAUAGCCUCUUCCAAAGGAAACAUCGCGGGCUGCCCCCUCCUUGGCCCGUCGUCUGCACAUGCUGGGAGUAGUCUCUCUGCUCUUGCUCUGCAGCCCUGUCAUGGCCUGGGUCUAAGUGUCCCCCCAAAGUCUCAUGCAGGUGUGGUGGGGCUUUUUCAGAGAUGGCUGAAUUUAGAGUAUGUGAUUGCUUUAUGGUGCAAUGCUAGGUUCAAGGGCACUAGGAUUAAGGGUGUGAGCGCUUACCUGUUUUAAGUAGUCUGGAUAAGAUAAAAGGGGCACAAAAAAGCUGUUAAGGUCCCUUGUUGCUUUUGCUGUCUUUGACUGCAAGGAACUAUUUUCUCCUCUUCGAAGCCUCUCUGCCAUGUGCCAUUCUGCCUUGGAUCCAGCCAACUGUGGAUUGAAACCUCUCCAAACUGUAAGCUAAAUAAACCUUUCCACCUUUAA